Molecule: long non-coding RNA, 1258 nt
Organism: Homarus americanus (American lobster)
Lineage: Eukaryota; Metazoa; Arthropoda; Malacostraca; Decapoda; Nephropidae
Exons: 4
Source: RefSeq, a predicted model, not a curated record
AUAAAGACGUCGUCAUCUCCCAUGGGUCAUUAGACUACUGGUCCACCCCAAACUUCCCUCAAGAUUAUCCAGAGGGCGUCACCUGUACCCUGACAGUGACGAUCCCCAAGUCACUACAGUCGGGUUUUGCAGAGAUUAAGGUGGUGGAGGGAGGCAUUAUCUUCAAAACAAAGGACUGUCAACAUGACGUUCUGCUGGAGGACUCACGCAUAAGACACUGUGGUAACAUACAGGAAAAGAAGUGGAGUCUUCUCACCACGUACGACGCCCCUAAGACGAAGACGUUUGUGUUCUCUUCUUCAGACAAAGAUGGUUCAGCUGCGCAAGGCUUCAAAUUAUCCAUCACAGGAGUCAAUCUUGAGCGCUAAUGUUCAAGAACUCACACCGAGUUGUGUUUCUGCCAACUGUUUAUCAGACUACCUGAGGAACCGCACUUUAUGGCUAGAGUAUUGUGCACGGUAAGAAGAAAUCAAACCUCUUCAUGAUAUCAAGAGGAGUGUUUGAGAAACUCCUAAAAUACAGGAUCUCUUUUGAAAUAAAAUGGAUGACGUUUUAUACCCACCUCAGAUCGAGCUAGUGCUUGUUGAGGGAGAGGAAAAACACUGGGCAACUUUAAGAAUAAUCAUAAUGAAACUACAAAUGUGAUAAGAGAAGACCAUACAGAGGAGUCAUUGACCUUCGCUUCGUAGAGCCUCCCCCCCCCUCCCUCCCUAUCCAAAAAAAAAAAAAAUAAGCCUGUUUGAUAAUUUGCGAUGAUAUGCAUGUUCCCAAUUACUGGCCAGCCCUUUCCUUUAUUUAUAUUUUUACGGGAAAUAGCCAACCCGGGCACAGGUCAUCGACCCACAACGGGGCCUAGGGGGCGAAAAAAUAAGAGUAAAAAGAAAAAAACAUAAAUGAAAAAGAUUAUCCUAAUUUUUACCACUUAGAUGACGGAAAACCUAUAUUUAACGUACAUUUAUUUUACAUUACCCUUUCCUUCUUUCCUUAUGUUUUGAACCACCCCGAGGCAAAAAUUGGAAUUGGAGAAAAAAUAAUAGACCUGUAAAUAUAUAAAUCUCCAGUUUAAUAAGUGGACCGUAACUACUCGGCCUCAAAACCUGGAAUACAUAUUCACCUUAACCCCCUAUUCACCAAUCGCCAUGUAUAUUUUUUUAUUUCUGUUCUCACCUGCGGAGUUUACUUACUUCAUGAUAUGUGUAAAUCUGUGUAGUAAUAUUGUGCGAGGACUGGAACACGUCUCAACACAGGAAUAUUUGUA